GUAGGUGGCAAGCGUUGUCCGGAAUUAUUGGGCGUAAAGCGCGCGCAGGCGGUUCUUUAAGUCUGAUGUGAAAGCCCACGGCUCAACCGUGGAGGGUCAUUGGAAACUGGAGAACUUGAGUACAGAAGAGGAAAGCGGAAUUCCACGUGUAGCGGUGAAAUGCGUAGAGAUGUGGAGGAACACCAGUGGCGAAGGCGGCUUUCUGGUCUGUAACUGACGCUGAGGCGCGAAAGCGUGGGGAGCAAACAGGGAUUAGAUACCCUGGUAGUCCACGCCGUAAACGAUGAGUGCUAAGUGUUAGGGGGGGUUUCCGCCCCCUUAGUGCUGCAGCUAACGCAUUAAGCACUCGCCUGGGGAUACGGCCGCAAGGCUG
RNAcentral lists this ribosomal RNA (373 nucleotides) under uncultured organism. RNAcentral's name for it is "partial 16S ribosomal RNA". It matches the Rfam family "Bacterial small subunit ribosomal RNA", at positions 527 to 896 of the family's 1533-position model. The record is from RNAcentral.